GAUGAACGCUGGCGGCGUGCCUAAUACAUGCAAGUCGAGCGAACAGACGAGGAGCUUGCUCCUCUGACGUUAGCGGCGGACGGGUGAGUAACACGUGGAUAACCUACCUAUAAGACUGGGAUAACUUCGGGAAACCGGAGCUAAUACCGGAUAAUAUAUUGAACCGCAUGGUUCAAUAGUGAAAGACGGUUUUGCUGUCACUUAUAGAUGGAUCCGCGCCGCAUUAGCUAGUUGGUAAGGUAACGGCUUACCAAGGCAACGAUGCGUAGCCGACCUGAGAGGGUGAUCGGACACACUGGAACUGAGACACGGUCCAGACUCCUACGGGAGGCAGCAGUAGAGAAUCUUACGCAAUGGGCGAAAGCCUGACGGAGCAACGCCGCGUGAGUGAUGAAGGUCUUCGGCUCGUAAAACUCUGUUAUUAGGGAAGAACAAAUGUGUAAGUAACUAUGAACGUCUUGACGGUACCUAAUCAGAAAGCCACGGCUAACUACGUG
RNAcentral lists this ribosomal RNA (497 nucleotides) under uncultured bacterium. RNAcentral describes it as "partial 16S ribosomal RNA". It matches the Rfam family "Bacterial small subunit ribosomal RNA", at positions 28 to 507 of the family's 1533-position model. The record is from RNAcentral.